This 473-nucleotide ribosomal RNA is filed under the name uncultured bacterium. RNAcentral's name for it is "bacterial SSU rRNA". It matches the Rfam family "Bacterial small subunit ribosomal RNA", at positions 19 to 518 of the family's 1533-position model. The record is from RNAcentral.
CUGGCUCAGAACGAACGCUGGCGGCAUGGAUUAGGCAUGCAAGUCGAACGAAGCAGCAAUGCUUAGUGGCGCAAGGGUGAGGAACACGUGAGUGACCUACCCGCAAGUUUGGAACAGCUCCUGGAAACGGGAAUUAAUACCGGAUGUGAUCAUGAAGCUGCAUGGUUUCAUGAUUAAAGCAGCAAUGCGCUUGCGGAUGGGCUCGCGUCCCAUUAGCUAGUUGGUGAGGUAACGGCCCACCAAGGCCAUGAUGGGUAGCUGGUCUGAGAGGACGACCAGCCACACUGGGACUGAGAACUGCCCAGACUCCUACGGGAGGCUGCAGUCGAGAAUUUUGGGCAAUGGACGAAAGUCUUGACCCAGCAAUGCCGCGUGCGGGAUGAAGGUCUUCGGAUUGUAAACCGCUGUUUGGAGGGACGAAAAUUGACGGUACUUCCAGAGGAAGCCACGGCUAACUACGUGCCAGCCGCCGC